UCCCUUAGACGUUCUGGGCCGCACGCGCGCUACACUGACCAGUGCAACAAGCAUCCGUCCUUGGCCGACAGGCUCGGGCAAUCUUUGAACGCUGGUCGUGAUGGGGAUAGACUUUUGCAAUUUUUGGUCUUCAACGAGGAAUUCCUAGUAAACGCAAGUCAUCAACUUGCAUUGAUUACGUCCCUGCCCUUUGUACACACCGCCCGUCGCACCUACCGAUUGAAUGGUCCGGUGAAGCCUCCGGAUUGGCGCGCACCUCGGUGCCGCCGAGAAGUUGGCUAAACCUUACCAUUUAGAGGAAGGUGAAGUCGUAACA
Molecule: ribosomal RNA, 316 nt
Filed under: uncultured eukaryote
Lineage: Eukaryota
Description: partial 18S ribosomal RNA
Rfam family: Eukaryotic small subunit ribosomal RNA
Source: RNAcentral